AGAUGAGAUAGAGGUUGCAAUGGAUAAAAGUAGUUUGAAUGAGGGACAGAGGAACCGAUGACUUCAAAUGAAAGGAUUCAUUGCCGAAGUUUGCAGCGUACUCUGGCGCCGCAAGCUGGGCCUGCAUUCGAAUAGAGUCAGGACUGCCAUCGCUUAAUGGAAGCGAUGGAGCGCUAUCUACAUU
This 184-nucleotide non-coding RNA is filed under the name Anoxybacillus sp. B7M1. RNAcentral's name for it is "Lysine riboswitch aptamer". It matches the Rfam family "Lysine riboswitch aptamer". From Rfam's summary of the family: Riboswitches are metabolite binding domains within certain messenger RNAs that serve as precision sensors for their corresponding targets. Allosteric rearrangement of mRNA structure is mediated by ligand binding, and this results in modulation of gene expression. This family includes riboswitches that sense lysine in a number of genes involved in lysine metabolism, including lysC. The record is from Rfam by way of RNAcentral. RNAcentral also lists the same sequence under 1 other name. Lineage: Bacteria; Bacillati; Bacillota; Bacilli; Caryophanales; Anoxybacillaceae.